ACAUGUCUUUUUGAGAAGUAUUUAAAGUCGGGCCUGCCCACUGAUGAAUUGAAGGGCCGCGGUAUUUUGACCGUGCAAAGGUAGCAUAAUCAUUAGUCUUUUAAUUGAAGGCUGGAAUGAAUGGUUUGACGAAGCAUUAGCUGUCUCUAUAUGAAAUAUAGAAUUUAACUUUUGAGUCAAAAGGCUUAAAUAAGAAUAUAGGACGAGAAGACCCUAUAGAGUUUUAUACGAGGAAAGAGAUGAAAUUUAUAUAGUUGUUGAUGGUUUUGUUUUUUACUUGUAUUAUGUUGGGGUGACAUAAAGAUAUAAUUAACUCUUUAUUGAUAUAUACAUAGAUUUAUGGAUAAUUGAUCCAUUAUUAAUGAUUAUAAGAUAAAAUUACCUUAGGGAUAACAGCGUAAUUUUUCUUGAGAGUUCUUAUCGAAAGGAAAGUUUGCGACCUCGAUGUUGGACUAAGAAAAUGAUUUGGUGUAGUAGCUAAAUUAAUAAGUCUGUUCGACUUUUAAACUCUUAC
RNAcentral lists this ribosomal RNA (514 nucleotides) under Chortoscirtes serengeti. RNAcentral describes it as "partial 16S ribosomal RNA". It matches the Rfam family "Bacterial large subunit ribosomal RNA", at positions 1815 to 2599 of the family's 2925-position model. The record is from RNAcentral. Lineage: Eukaryota; Metazoa; Arthropoda; Insecta; Orthoptera; Tettigoniidae.